ACAAACAAACAGUGGCUUAGUCGUCGCCUUCACCGAGCAAUAGGCAGAGGUUACGAGCUAAAUAUCAAGCGAUUAAGAAAAAGGACUUCCCUUUAGAGAGCGCUGAAAAAGCUUUUUAGAUCACGUGCUGUUCGUCGCAGGUCCAAGAUGUUGAUCGGAUCACCCGUCGCUAUCCACACACCUCUCCCAAUGUGUAGCCCCUCGUCAGCUGUUGGCCUCCUCCAGCAACACUUCCCCGCUGCAAAACAGCUGUAAUCAGACACAAGCCGCUGUGCACCACGGCUCUUCACACAGUGGUCAACAACUCCAGAACGCCUCUCAGAGUCCUGACAGGAGUCAGCCUGCAGAAAGCAAUGGAGCCCAGUCAAAAUAUAUGACAAUGGGUAGAGUUGUAGAUACUACACAUACCUAUGCAAACAUCAACCUAGAGAGUGUACCUCAGCAAUCAAAUGACAAACACAUAUAUGAAGUUAUGGCUCCUCAGCAGAAGCCCAGAGAAAUGAAGUCUGACUGACUGUGUGGAGAUCCUCAAACUAAAUGUGCUGUUGUAGCAUUUUGUUAAGUCGUCUUAGUAUGCUAAUAUAGCACUUAUGAAUGUGUCAAUUAUGUUCAGUUUACUAAAUUAAUAUUGGAACAUACUAUUAAUGUUUUUAUAAUGUUUUUGGCACAAGGCAAAACCAUGUCAAUUAACAUGUUACGUUUUGGUCUACUCUGUGAAAUUGAUAUAAAGUACUAUACAGUA
Molecule: long non-coding RNA, 742 nt
Organism: Alosa alosa (allis shad)
Lineage: Eukaryota; Metazoa; Chordata; Actinopteri; Clupeiformes; Clupeidae
Exons: 4
Source: RefSeq, a predicted model, not a curated record